Picea glauca (white spruce) is the source of this 120-nucleotide non-coding RNA. The record is from Rfam. Lineage: Eukaryota; Viridiplantae; Streptophyta; Pinopsida; Pinales; Pinaceae.
ACAUGCAUAUAACAUAAUGUUAAUGCAUCGGUCCCAUUAGAACUCUGCAGUUAAGCAUUCUCAGGCUAGAGUAUUACUAGGAUGGGUGACUGCCCAGGAAGCCCUAGUGUUUUACAUGUC